This 335-nucleotide unclassified non-coding RNA is filed under the name soil metagenome. RNAcentral's name for it is "partial contains 5.8S ribosomal RNA, internal transcribed spacer 2, and large subunit ribosomal RNA". The stretch from base 1 to 120 matches the Rfam family "5.8S ribosomal RNA", at positions 35 to 154 of the family's 154-position model. The record is from RNAcentral.
GAUGAAGAACGUAGCGAAAUGCAAUAAGUAAUGUGAAUUGCAGAAUUCAGUGAAUCAUCGAAUCUUUGAACGCACAUUGCGCCCGCCAGUAUUCUGGCGGGCAUGCCUGUUCGAGCGUCAUUUCAACCAUCAAGCCCCCGGCUUGUGUUGGGGACCUGCGGCUGCCGCAGGCCCUGAAAACCAGUGGCGGGCUCGCUAGUCACUCCGAGCGUAGUAAUACAUCUCGCUCAGGGCGUGCUGCGGGUUCCGGCCGUUAAAAAGCCUUAUUUACCCAAGGUUGACCUCGGAUCAGGUAGGAAGACCCGCUGAACUUAAGCAUAUCAAUAAGCGGAGGA